GAUGAAGAACGUAGCGAAAUGCGAUAACUAAUGUGAAUUGCAGAAUUCAGUGAAUCAUCGAGUCUUUGAACGCACAUUGCGCCCGCCAGUAUUCUGGCGGGCAUGCCUGUUCGAGCGUCAUUUCAACCAUCAAGCCCCCGGCUUGUGUUGGGGACCUGCGGCUGCCGCAGGCCCUGAAAACCAGUGGCGGGCUCGCUAGUCACUCCGAGCGUAGUAAUACAUCUCGCUCAGGGCGUGCUGCGGGUUCCGGCCGUUAAAAAAGCCUUAUUUACCCAAGGUUGACCUCGGAUCAGGUAGGAAGACCCGCUGAACUUAAGCAUAUCAAUAAGCGGAGGA
Molecule: unclassified non-coding RNA, 336 nt
Filed under: soil metagenome
Description: partial contains 5.8S ribosomal RNA, internal transcribed spacer 2, and large subunit ribosomal RNA
Rfam family: 5.8S ribosomal RNA (bases 1-120)
Source: RNAcentral